RNAcentral lists this ribosomal RNA (506 nucleotides) under Teratosphaeria sp. GS2_4_3. RNAcentral describes it as "eukaryotic LSU rRNA". The stretch from base 157 to 310 matches the Rfam family "5.8S ribosomal RNA". The record is from RNAcentral. Lineage: Eukaryota; Fungi; Ascomycota; Dothideomycetes; Mycosphaerellales; Teratosphaeriaceae.
UCAUUACUGAGUGAGCGCUCUCGGGCGCGACCUCCAACCCCAUUGUUAUCCGACCCUGUUGCCUCGGGGGUGACCCGGCCUUCGGGCCCGGGGCCCCCGGUGGACCCCAACCAAACACUGCAUCUUUGCGUCUGAGUGAUUACACAAUCAAAUCAAAACUUUCAACAACGGAUCUCUUGGUUCUGGCAUCGAUGAAGAACGCAGCGAAAUGCGAUAAGUAAUGUGAAUUGCAGAAUUCAGUGAAUCAUCGAAUCUUUGAACGCACAUUGCGCCCCCUGGCAUUCCGGGGGGCAUGCCUGUUCGAGCGUCAUUACACCACUCAAGCCUGGCUUGGUAUUGGGUGUCGCGGGAGAUCGCGCGCCCUAAAGUCACCGGCUGAGCCGUCCGUCUCCAAGCGUUGUGGCAACUAUCCGCUGGCAAGACCCGGGCGACCCGGCCGUUAAAUACCCCCAUCAAAGGUUGACCUCGGAUCAGGUAGGGAUACCCGCUGAACUUAAGCAUAUCAA